Molecule: ribosomal RNA, 665 nt
Filed under: Geocentrophora intersticialis
Lineage: Eukaryota; Metazoa; Platyhelminthes; Prorhynchida; Prorhynchidae
Description: SSU rRNA
Rfam family: Eukaryotic small subunit ribosomal RNA
Source: RNAcentral
AUGCAUGUCUAAGUACACACCUUAACAUGGUGAGACUGCGAAAGGCUCAUUAAAUCAGCUAUGGUUUCUUAGAUCAUUGAACAUUACUUGGAUAACUGUGGUAAUUCUAGAGCUAAUACAUGAAACAAAGCCUUGGCCUCACGGUAAAGGCGCAUUUAUUAGAUCAAAACCAACCGACUUCGGUCGUAGUUUUGGUGACUCUGGAUAACUUUGUGCAGAUCGCAUGACCUUGCUCGGCGACGUAUCUUUCAAAUGUCUGACCUAUCAACUGUCGACGGUAGGUGAUAUGCCUACCAUGGUGAUAACGGGUAACGGGGAAUCAGGGUUCGAUUCCGGAGAGGGAGCCUGAGAAACGGCUACCACAUCUAAGGAAGGCAGCAGGCGCGCAAAUUACCCAAUCCCGACACGGGAGGUAGUGACGAAAAAUAACGAUGCGGGUCUUUUAUGAGGCCCCGUAAUUGGAAUGAGUACACUUUAAAUCCUUUAACAAGGAUCAAUUGGAGGGCAAGUCUGGUGCCAGCAGCCGCGGUAAUUCCAGCUUCAAUAGCGUAUAUUAAAGUUGUUGCAGUUAAAAAGCUCGUAGUUGGAUCUCAGGAGUUGAGGGAGUGGUUCGCCUUCAUGGGUGUUACUAUUCUCUCUUCCUAUCUAGUCGGAGUCCGUCUUGG